GAUCCUGGCUUAGGAUGAACGCUAGCUACAGGCUUAACACAUGCAAGUCGAGGGGCAGCAUGAGAUUAGCUUGCUAAUCUUGAUGGCGACCGGCGCACGGGUGAGUAACGCGUAUCCAACCUUCCCCUUAGUAGGGCAUAGCCCGGCGAAAGUCGGAUUAAUACCCUAUGUUUUCCAAUGAGGACAUCUGAGCUGGAACAAAGAUUCAUCGCUAAGGGAUGGGGAUGCGUCUGAUUAGGUAGUCGGCGGGGUAACGGCCCACCGAGCCUACGAUCAGUAGGGUUCUGAGAGGAAGGUCCCCCACAUUGGAACUGAGACACGGUCCAAACUCCUACGGGAGGCAGCAGUGAGGAAUAUUGGUCAAUGGACGAGAGUCUGAACCAGCCAAGUAGCGUGCAGGAUGACGGCCCUAUGGGUUGUAAACUGCUUUUAUCAGGGGAUAAAGUGAGGGACGUGUCCCUUUUUGUAGGUACCUGAUGAAUAAGGACCGGCUAAUUCCGUGCCAGCAGCUGC
Molecule: ribosomal RNA, 513 nt
Filed under: uncultured bacterium
Lineage: Bacteria
Description: bacterial SSU rRNA
Rfam family: Bacterial small subunit ribosomal RNA
Source: RNAcentral